GAUGAACGCUGGCGGCGUGCCUAAUACAUGCAAGUCGAGCGAACAGACGAGGAGCUUGCUCCUCUGACGUUAGCGGCGGACGGGUGAGUAACACGUGGAUAACCUACCUAUAAGACUGGGAUAACUUCGGGAAACCGGAGCUAAUACCGGAUAAUAUAUUGAACCGCAUGGUUCAAUAGUGAAAGACGGUUUUGCUGUCACUUAUAGAUGGAUCCGCGCCGCAUUAGCUAGUUGGUAAGGUAACGGCUUACCAAGGCGACGAUGCGUAGCCGACCUGAGAGGGUGAUCGGCCACACUGGAACUGAGACACGGUCCAGACUCCUACGGGAGGCAGCAGGAGGGAAUCUUCCGCAAUGGGCGAAAGCCUGACGGAGCAACGCCGCGUGAGUGAUGAAGGUCUUCGGAUCGUAAAACUCUGUUAUUAGGGAAGAACAAAUGUGUAAGUAACUAUGCACGUCUGGACGGUACCUAAUCAGAAAGCCACGGCUAACUACGU
RNAcentral lists this ribosomal RNA (496 nucleotides) under uncultured bacterium. RNAcentral's name for it is "partial 16S ribosomal RNA". It matches the Rfam family "Bacterial small subunit ribosomal RNA", at positions 28 to 506 of the family's 1533-position model. The record is from RNAcentral.